CAGCAGCCACGGUAAUACAGAGGGUGCAAGCGUUAAUCGGAAUUACUGGGCGUAAAGCGCGCGUAGGUGGUUUGUUAAGUUGGAUGUGAAAUCCCCGGGCUCAACCUGGGAACUGCAUCCAAAACUGGCAAGCUAGAGUAUGGUAGAGGGUGGUGGAAUUUCCUGUGUAGCGGUGAAAUGCGUAGAUAUAGGAAGGAACACCAGUGGCGAAGGCGACCACCUGGACUGAUACUGACACUGAGGUGCGAAAGCGUGGGGAGCAAACAGGAUUAGAGACCCCAGUAGUCCCUGUCUCUUAUAA
Molecule: ribosomal RNA, 301 nt
Filed under: uncultured bacterium
Lineage: Bacteria
Description: partial 16S ribosomal RNA
Rfam family: Bacterial small subunit ribosomal RNA
Source: RNAcentral